This 65-nucleotide transfer RNA is filed under the name Byrsotria rothi. RNAcentral describes it as "tRNA-Thr". It matches the Rfam family "tRNA". Rfam says of the family: Transfer RNA (tRNA) molecules are approximately 80 nucleotides in length. The record is from RNAcentral. Lineage: Eukaryota; Metazoa; Arthropoda; Insecta; Blattodea; Blaberidae.
GUUUUAAUAAUUUAAUGAAAAUAUUGGUCUUGUAAACCAAAACUAAGGCUCUUCCUUUUAAAACU